GUCUGUGGCCAUGCCACCCUGAACAAGCUGGAUGUCUGAUCUCAGAAGCUAAGCAGGCUGGGCCUGGUUAGUACUUGGAUGGGAGACCACCUAGGAAGACCAGGUGCUAUAGGCA
Molecule: ribosomal RNA, 115 nt
Filed under: Pteropus alecto (black flying fox)
Lineage: Eukaryota; Metazoa; Chordata; Mammalia; Chiroptera; Pteropodidae
Source: RNAcentral